GCCUGGGUGGCGAAAUUGGCAGACGCGCCAGACUCAAAAUCUGGUUCGGGCAACCGAGUGAGAGUUCGAGUCUCUCCCCAGGCACCA
This 87-nucleotide transfer RNA is filed under the name Gammaproteobacteria bacterium. RNAcentral's name for it is "tRNA-Leu". It matches the Rfam family "tRNA". From Rfam's summary of the family: Transfer RNA (tRNA) molecules are approximately 80 nucleotides in length. The record is from RNAcentral. Lineage: Bacteria; Pseudomonadati; Pseudomonadota; Gammaproteobacteria.